GAGAAUCUUUACUUGGAAAUUUGC
RNAcentral lists this non-coding RNA (24 nucleotides) under Arabidopsis thaliana (thale cress). The record is from RNAcentral. Lineage: Eukaryota; Viridiplantae; Streptophyta; Magnoliopsida; Brassicales; Brassicaceae.